This 430-nucleotide unclassified non-coding RNA is filed under the name Hevea brasiliensis (rubber tree). The record is from RNAcentral. Lineage: Eukaryota; Viridiplantae; Streptophyta; Magnoliopsida; Malpighiales; Euphorbiaceae.
UCUCUGUUGGAAUCUUAUUGACAGGUAUGCUCCUGGAUCUUUUUUAUUCUAAAUAUUAAUUAAUUAUUUCAGUAUGCAUAUGUUUGCUUCCCACGUAUCACUUUCAGCUCUUGGUUUAGAACAAUUACAGGACUUGAAUGUCAAGGAAAUAUUCAUAUAAAGUUACACCUUUUUGUUUUUUAUGCAGAACCAUUUGUUGGAUCUAAUAUAGGUUUGAUUAUCUUAAUUCAUUUUAACUUCUUUGCUCUGCAUUUUUUUUUCCUUUUUAUUUUGCUUGUUUACCCUCAAGCACAUCAUCCAUUUUAUAUGGUAAAGACAAGGGUUGCUUUUCUGGACCCUAAAAAUCCUUAUUCAUUGAUGAUAUAGCUUCGUUAAUAAGGAUUUUCUAUCUUCAGUAUGGAAGGAACUGUCUUCCUUUCUUUGGAUUUUG